UUUGAUGCAGCCACAUGUAGGAUGGCGGGUGUAUCAACCAUGUGGAAGAUUGAAUUGAGGCCAACAGCGCGAGGAUUCGUUGUGACCACAGGAGGUGUUGCUGGAUUGAAUCGGUUCAAGAUCACCAAGUAUGAAGGUGGUAAUAAUUUGUAUCAGCUUUCUUACUGUCCAAUUUCCGAACCCAUAUGUGAAUGCUCAUGCGUCCCACUAGGCCAAGUUGUCAAUCGCUUGGCUCCCAGAACCAUCCCUUUUCCUGUUGUGUUUGUACCAUCCGAUAGAGCUUCUAAAAUCGAGUAUAAAAUGAUGUAAGAAUGAUAUAGAUCAGUACUGCAAUCCUGAAUGAGCUAGGGAGCUCGAUUGCCUGCUAUGAUCAUGUGUUGGGCAUCAAAUAAUUCUUGAAUAAAUACGAAGCUCUUUGGCUUUGGCUUUUGCUUGAUUUUCACGUUCUCUCCGUAUGUAUACUACGUUUGUUGCUUGAUGAUUACCUUGACUCUCACAGCAUUAAAGCAUGAUAAUUCCUUACCUUCAUCUUUUCAAGAAUUACAUUACACAUCAUCAUCAAAUUUAAAUUUCGAUGAAAAACUAAAAUAAGUAUUGACUUUUCUUUUAGCUUUUUCACUUUUUUUUUCCUUUUCCUUUUCCCUAUUCUUUUCCCCUCUUUCUCCUUUCCCUUUGCUCUCUUCUUUAUCCCUGAACAUUUACUCUCUUUACUUUCCUGUUCAUAACAAUUACCCCUUCUCUCUUUUUAAAAUUAGAUCUCUUGAUUAUGUAAAACAUUUUAUGUCUCAUAGUCGGGACAUUGCUGGGACUGAGGAUUCCCUUUCAACAUCCUGUGAUGAGAAGAAAAGGCCGGGAUUGUUGUGCCAAAAAGACGAAAUAAACAGGACCAAAUUAAGGAAAUUUAGGAAGCGUGGCUACUAGAUCUAUGGUUGGUCGCAUGAGUAUAGAUCUAUGGUUGAUCGCAUGCCAUAGUUAUGGUUAGAACCUGUACGAAAUUCUUUAAGGUCAGCAUGCCUAAACUGAGCUCCCUGAUAGCCUUCAAUGCACUCUGUUUUUACCAUUUUCCUUUUACGAGUUCACUUGGUGUUCUUAUCUCUUUCAUAAAAUAGCAUCUUGUCUACAAUCCUCAGUUUCUAACUUCACUAUAUCGAAAGGAUCACGCCAAAGGAUCUGUUGUCCUUUACACAACGUGAGCAGCAUGCGGUUUAAUCCUCAGAAUACUGCUUCUUUAUAGCAUGCGUUUCCCCAAGUUGAUGCGACAAGUUGCAUUAGCUAGAUCUGUAAUGGGAACAUCAGAACCUGGACUAUCAGUUUGUUGUUGAUUUUGUGACAGAGGUGACUAAUGAAGUUUCUUGAGGAUUUAGAGUGGGAAAGAGCUCGGAAGGCUUUCUCAUUGCCCUUUGUAUUUGGGUCCGAAUAUAAGGCAAACUGGGUUCGGUCCUUGGAUUGCUGGUCGUAUCAUCCAGAGUUUAUAAGAAGCUUAGCUGAGAGCAUGUGGGUGGGUGGAGCCUGGAGGUCUCUUCUGUUGAGCCACGUCGUUUUAGGUUCAGAAAGAGGCUGGGGCUACUAAAGAAAAACUCUAGGAUUGGAUUCGUACUUUUGGAUAAGAACCUGACAGAGGCAAAAUUGCUCCUUAGUGAUAUGGACCACGUGGCUGAAACUAGAGCAGUUUCGGACAUGGCUUUUAAACUAGAGCACGUCUCAUGUCAAAGUCAGAUGAAUUUUCCCAGGUCGAAAGGCUAACCAAGUUGCGAUCAAUCCAUAUCUUUUAGUCGGUCAUAUUAGAUUAAUUUUUUAUUUAUUGAAACUUGGUCUAGUCACCGAAAUCACUUAUCAGCAUGUUUGGUCAAGUUUGGUUUUAAAUCAAUGCUUUCAGAAUUAUAAUUUUCAUGUAAUGAUACAAGCAAAUUUCAAGUUCAAGGAAACUUUUAUUCUUAGAGGGUUUGUUUCAGAAUACGAUACCAUACGGAAAUGAUGAUAAAGAUGUAAAAUUAAGAAUCAAGAGAGCUAAUCAUCUAAGUGGUGAUGCAGUGGUAAAAGCUUGAGAUAAAAAGAUUUGCUCCCUUUGUGGUCUCAGGUUCGAGUCCUGUGGUUGCUCAUAUAAUGAUCACUGGAGACUUACAUGAUCGUUACUUCAGGACCCGUGGGAUUAGUCGAGGUACACACAAGCUAGUCCGGAUAUUCACAUUAAACUAAAAAAAAAAAAAGAAAUGAAGGGAGCUAGAGUAUCGAACCAAUCUCUUAUACCAUGUUAAAUGAGGAUAAAGACUUUAGCUCUAAAAAAGAUUUAAAAUUAUGGAUGAAGACAAGACUACAUUUUUCUUGGAUACUACAUCUUGUCUCGGUUACAUGAACGAGACUUUUUUUUUUUCUUAUAUUCUUGAAUUACAUUUGCUGAAUGAAGAGCUACCUAUUAAUUUAUACAAGGGAGUAGCCUACCAUUUAUGUUAGGUAGCCUGCAACUUUAGACUUCCUAUGCAACCUAUUUUGAAUAGCCACCCCUGCGUUUAAUUUAUAUUAUAACUUAUUAAGCACGAGCAGAACACUUCUGUGGAAUGAAUCGAGCAAGUGGUCCGAGAGGCCAGAGCUCCAAACCUCCAAGACAACUCUUUGCCGUAGGCUGUCAUUUGUCGUCUUGUAAUUAACAGCUCUUCCGACACAUCAGCUAGAAGACAAGAUAAUAUUGGGAUAACUACUAUACUGAUCUCAGCAAUGAAAUCGAUAAACAAUUUAGUGCAAGAAAACAGGGAUAGAGUUGAGACUCAUUCUGUUUUAUCCCAAAGCCAUAUGCUUUUUUAGCUUACAAAUCUAAUACGGAAAUAUUAUCCAAUAGCAGAGAGUGUUUUUACAUUUAUUUAUCAAUUAAAUUAAAUUAAAUUACAUCAUUAAAAGUGCAAGAUUAAAAUGAAAACAAAAAUCAUUAUUUGUGAAUAAUCAAAACCUUAUUUUAAUUGAAAUAAAAUGAUUAUUUAUGUGAUACACACUAGCUACUAGAAAACUGGAAAGUAGUGAUAAGAUUUUUUAUGGAAAAAUUUAUAAAUUCCAUCACUAAUUAAUCAUCUCUGCGUUUAAUUGAUCGGAUCUUAAUUAUAACCCAAUAAGCACGAGCAGAACACUUUUGUGAAAUGAAUCAAAGAAAGCAAGUGGGGCAAGUUGGCUAAUCGAGUUCUGCGCGCAAGAGGCUGCUUCGAACCUAGACGACAACUUAAUCAAUACGAGUGAAACACUAUAGUUUAUAUUUUUGUGGAACUAGAGGCACAUGUUUUUAAUUAAUUGUAAAAAAUAAUCGAAAUGCCUUCUCCCCUAUAAAUCCAUGCUCUCUGUGCAUUCUUCCACCACAACAAUAACGAGAAACAAUACUGAGAUAAUUAACUAACACUCAUCAUAUUUUCAACAAUGAAGAUCACCAAGUUUGUAGUGCUCUCCUUUCUUCUCUUUGCCUUCACAGCAACUUCAAUAUUUCCUCAUGCUGUUCAUGCAGAAGAUCCUGAAGCAGUGAUCGAUGUCAACGGUAAUGAGGUGACAGCUGAUGCUCGUUAUUUCAUCGGAGCCGCUUCGGAUGAUAAUACAACAACUCUUGCGGUCUCUGCGACUAGCCAGAUCAUAUGCAAUUCAGAUGUUAUACUUUCCUCAAUGAGCAAUGGGCUCCCAGUAACAUUUUCAUCACCAGUUGGAGAAUCCAACGACGGUGUCAUCCGCGAAGACAGUUAUCUGAAUGUGAACUUUGAUGCAGCCACAUGUAGGAUGGCGGGCGUAUCAACCAUGUGGAAGAUGGAGUUGAGGCCAACAAUGCGAGGAUUCGUUGUGACCACAGGAGGUGUUAAUGGAUUGAAUCGGUUCAAGAUCACCAAGUAUGAAGGUGGUAAUAAUUCGUAUCAGCUUUCUUACUGUCCAAUUUCCGACCCCAUGUGCGAAUGCUCAUGCGCAUGCGUCCCACUUGGCAACGUUGUCGAUCGCUUGGCUCCCAGCACCAUCCCUUUUCCUGUUGUGUUUGAACCAGUUGCAGAUAAAAGCUCCUGAAAUCGAGUAUAAAAUGAUGCAAGAAUGAUAUCGAUCACUACUGCCAUCCUGAAUGAGGAAGCUCACUGUCAUGGGUUGGGCAUAAAUAAAUUUUAAAUAAAUACGAAGCUUUUUAGCUUUAGCUUUCCCUUAAUGUACUUGUUGUCUCCAUUAAUAUAAUACGUUUUUUUCUUUAUCUUGUCACUUGAAAAUCAUCUGAUUACUACGAUCAUAGUUUGAUAUCAUCUAAAUGUUCGGAACCAAAUGUUAAUUAUGCUGUUUUUAUUUUUAUUUUAUUUUUUUUGCAUAUUUUUAAUGGUUUUUAGGUAUAAUUAAGUAUAAAACUAUAUUUUGACAAAUACCUUCUUUAACUGAUCAAACAAUUGUAAAACCAAAAAGUUUCAAUCUUUUGACAAAUACCGGCCCUUUUUUUUUUUUUUUUGGGGGAGGUGUCAACGCCUUUUAUAAAACUUUAGGCAUAAGUUUUUGGCAAAUUUCUUUUUUGGUCCAUAUAGUUUUACAAUUAUAUGGAUUAGUCUAAAAUGUUAUUUUAUUCUCAUUCAAUUCCUAACCUUAAAGGAGAAAAUAGAGAGCGUAACCAUAUUAUAGCAAAUAAAAAAGGAAGUGGACGAGACAACAGGUUUUUGGCUAUGGAACUUGUUGAUCUUUGUAUUAUUCUAUUCCAUUCAAUAAGAAAAAUUUCGUUCAUAUAUUUAGAGUUUUAUUUUGUUUAAAAAAUAAAUCAGGGUUAAAAAAUUAAUUUCUUCUCUGGUUAGAUUUUUUUGAGAUCAUUUUGAGGAUUUUUGAGUUGGUUAAUGUGUUGUAAGCCAUUCUAGGAGUGUUUAUUGAAUGUUUAUAGGUUAAAAUGGGUUAAAAAUAUAUUUUAUAGAUAAAAAUAGCAUCCCUGGAUUUUUUUCUGAGUAGCGAACGAUGCGCUAACUUUCUUUCUUUUUUAACUUCGUCCACCCAUCUUGAAACUUUUGAAAACUAAAGCCAAGUGCUUGGGCAUGCAUCCUAUGAUAGGCCCACGAGUUGGGCCUUGUUGUUGCUGGGUUAUGUGUGUUGGGCCUUUCAGGCUAUUAUUAAUUUCUUUAAUUAAUUUAGAAUUCAUUUAGGCUAUUAUUUUUUUAGAAACACUGUUAAAAUUUUAGUUAGUUUUUGAAUAAGAUUAAUGUUGUCUUUUUUCUUUUACUGAAUGUUUUUUUUACAGCCUUUCAUAUUUGAUUUUAAGAAAACUACUCGAUGAGUUUUAUAUGAGUGUGUAUUUUUAUUAUUAUAUUGCUAAAUAAAAAACAGUUUCAAAAAAAUAAAAUAAUUGAACCAAGUCGGAUUCAUUAUUUUAAUAUUUUAAAAAAUUAAACUGAUUUUAUUUUUGAAAAAAAUUAAAUCUUUCUCGUUGCUUAAUAUUAAAGAAUCAAUUAACCUAAAAGUUUAAGCUGUAAGGUAAGGUUCUAAGAUAUGAUUUAUAUUAUUCUCUAAUACACGUCUUGAAGUAAAAGCUCUUUGGAUUUGAAACUUGCACAGACUUAUAAUACUUUGUAAUUGAUUUUUAUCAAAUAAAGAGGGAUUGUGAAAUUUGAUUUUGUGAUUACUUGGUCAUUAAAAUUCUGAUAUUAUAUCAAAAAACCAAUUAAACCUAAAAACUUAAGCUAUUAGGUAAAAUUCUAAGAUAUAAUUUAUAUCAUUCUCUAAUAUUUAAAAAUGUAUUAAUAGCACAUGUAUAUUUUUUCCGACCUACAUUCGAUUAUUGUUUUCCAUAAUUAAAAUUUCUCGUUGGUAUCUCUUACGAACCAAGUCUUUCCGCACUGGAUAAGCCUCUCAUCACAACAUUGCCUCAUGGACUAGAAGACAAAUUUCCUGACUUGAAAUCUAAGAGGGAGAUGAGACAAUUUAGAGUAGGAUGCAGCUAAAUUAACAAAUAUAUUUUCCUAUUAUAUUAAUUAUUAAUAUCGACUUGAAAAGGUUACAAUAAUUAUUUUUAAAGAUGAGAAGUAUUUUUACAAUGAGUUUAGCAAUAACCUUUUCAUAAUAAGAUUCAAUGGUUUUAUUAUUAUUAGUUUUAAUUGAGAUUAUUUAUGGAGCCGGCAUAGAAAAACUAUUUGUGUGGAUUUUGUUCAAUUCUGUCUGUGCAUAUAUCAUAUUUUGAAACCCGAUCCAGUUUAGCGAGUCGACUCGGGAUCUGAAUAGAGAAAAGAAAAACCCGGUAUAACCUGGUUGAUCCAAUAAGACCCGGUUAUAACUCGUUAAUUUUUUUUUUAUCAAAACAACAUCAUUUUGAUUUUAAAAAAAAUUAAUGUGGUGAUUUGAUAAUCCUAUCAAAAUUUAGAAUCCGAGCCUUGAUUUGAAAUUUUUUGUUGAAUUUUAUGCAUGAUAUAUGUUUAUCAAUCGAUAUCUCGAGCCACCAUGAUUGUCAAAUACAAGAUUUAAACCAAUAAGUUUAAAAGACACAUGACGAACAUGCAGCCAUCCAUGCUUUAAUUAAUCGAAUCUUAUACACUUUAAAGCACGAGUAAAACACCUUGUGGGACAGAACAAGUGGUCCAUGCAUGAGGCAUAGGUUGUACAUGUAAUUAUUUAUAUAGGACAAACUCAUCAAAGGAUUAAUUAUGUUUAGGAAUAUGGUUUUUUUAAAAAAAAAUUAAAUUAUUUUUUGACGUUUCCGGUUAAAAAUAUUAUUUAAUAUAUUUCUAAAUAAUUUAUUAUAAUUCUAAAUACCUCAGUAAUGAACAUCGCGACUACGGAAAUAUGAAACAAAUUGGAGACAUUCGAUGAAUAUGGAAGACAAAAUGAGAAAUACUGGACCACGUAAAUCACUUUUGUGGGACAAAACAAGGAGUCCAUGCAUGAGGCACAGGCUGUACAUGUAAUUAUUUACAUAGGAAAAACUCGUGGAAAGAUUAAUUAAUACUGUGUUUAAAAAUAUAAUUGAAAUUGUAUUUUUAAAAAAAUUUAAAUUAUUUUUUAUAUUGUUUUGAUGUGCUAAUAUUAAAAAUAUUUUUUUUUAAAUAUAAUAUUUUAAUAUGUUUUCAAAUAAAAAACUUUAAACCACAAUUAUUACUAUAAUUUUAAAUACCUUCAUAUUUAAAUGUUGUAAUUAUAAAAACAUAUAUAAAAUAAAUUGGAAACAUUCAAUGAAUAUAGAAGAAAAAACAAGAGAUUUAGUUUAAAAUAGUCCAAGAAAAAUUUUUAUUUUUUAUAUUUAUAUUUUUCAAACCAAAUAUAUUUCUUUUCACACUAUCUUUAUUAAUUUUUUCUUUUUUAAAAAAUAACUAAACACUAUUCUUUUCUUUUUUCCCUGUUAUAGUAACUAAACCAUGCCUUAAAAAGUAGAAAUUAGGGACUAGAUUUUUAUGGAAAAAUUUAUAAUCCAUCACUAUCAUCUAUGCGUUAAGUGGUCGGAUUUAUAUCUAUAUNNNNNNNNNNNNNNNNNNNNNNNNNNNNNNNNNNNNNNNNNNNNNNNNNNNNNNNNNNNNNNNNNNNNNNNNNNNNNNNNNNNNNNNNNNNNNNNNNNNNAUAACCACCACACCACAAUACUGCAGCAGUAGCUUCCCCAGGCUCUAUUACCGAUCCUAAUACUUUAGCUGAGCAAUUUCAGAAGUUUCUCUCCUUGCAGCCACAAGCAAUGUCCGCUUCUUCCAUAGGUCAGUUGCCUCAUAAUUCCUCAGGUAUGUCACACUCUGAAUGGGUCUUGGAUUCUGGUGCUUCACAUCAUAUGUCUCCAGAUUCCUCAUCUUUUACCUCAGUGUCCCCUUUGUCCUCCAUUCCUGUUAUGACUGCUGAUGGCACUCCUAUGCCCUUAGCAGGUGUUGGUUCUGUUGUCACACCUCACUUGUCUCUCCCUAAUGUUUAUCUUAUUCCAAAACUCAAAUUGAAUCUUGCGUCUGUUGGUCAAAUAUGUGAUUCUGGUGAUUAUUUAGUCAUGUUUUAUGGUUCUUUUUGUUGUGUACAGGAUCUGCAGUCUCAGAAGCUGAUUGGGACAGGCCGUAGGGAGAAUGGGCUAUAUAUUUUGGAUGAGUUAAAAGUGCCAGUUGCUGCUGCUGCCGCUGCUGCUACUACUGCUGAUUUGUCUUCCUUUCGUUUGAGUCUUUCAUCUUCUAGUUUUUAUUUAUGGCAUUCCCGUCUAGGUCAUGUUUCGUCUUCUCGUUUGAGAUUUUUGGCAUCCACAGGAGCUUUAGGAAAUUUGAAAACUUGUGACAUUUCUGAUUGUAGUGGAUGUAAACUGGCAAAAUUUUCUGCUUUACCUUUUAAUCGAAGUAUUUCUGUUUCAUCUUCACCAUUUGAUUUGAUUCAUUCUGAUGUAUGGGGACCUUCUCCUGUUUCCACAAAAGGAGGGUCUCGAUAUUAUGUCUCUUUUAUUGAUGAUCAUACUCGUUAUUGUUGGGUUUAUUUAAUGAAACAUCGUUCUGAAUUCUUUAAGAUAUAUGCAGCUUUUCGAGCUCUUAUCAAAACUCAACAUUCUGCUGUGAUCAAAUGCUUUAGGUGUGAUUUGGGUGGGGAAUACACCUCUAAUAAAUUUUGUCAAAUGCUUGCCUUAGAUGGAACCAUCCACCAAACUUCAUGUACAGAUACUCCUGAACAAAAUGGUGUAGCUGAAAGAAAACAUAGGCAUAUUGUCGAAACUGCUCGUUCUCUCUUGUUGUCUGCUUUUGUUCCUAGUGAAUUUUGGGGAGAAGCUGUUCUUACUGCUGUAAGUUUGAUUAAUACAAUUCCAUCUUCUCAUAGUUCGGGUCUAUCUCCUUUUGAAAAGCUAUAUGGGCAUGUCCCUGAUUAUUCCUCAUUUAGAGUCUUUGGUUGUACUUGUUUCGUUCUUCGUCCUCAUGUAGAACGCAAUAAGCUAUCCUCUCGAUCCGCUAUUUGUGUCUUUCUGGGUUAUGGUGAAGGUAAAAAGGGGUAUCGUUGUUUUGAUCCAAUAACUCAGAAACUUUAUGUGUCUCGUCAUGUUGUCUUCCUUGAGCAUAUACCUUUCUUUUCUAUUCCAUCCACUACUCAUAGCCUGACAAAAUCUGAUCUUAUUCAUAUAGAUCUUUUUUCUGAAGAUUCUGGUAAUGAUACCUCUCCCUAUGUUCGAUCAAUUUGUACUCAUAACUCUGCAGGUACUGGUACUUUACUCUCUGGCACACCUGAAGCUCCAUUCUCAUCUACAGCCCCUCAAGCUUCAUCUGAGAUUGUGGAUCCACCUCCACGUCAGUCCAUCCGCAUUCGUAAGUCCACAAAAUUACCAGAUUUUGCUUAUUCUUGUUAUUCUUCAUCAUUUACUUCCUUUUUAGCUUCUAUUCAUUGUCUCUUUGAGCCCUCUUCCUAUAAAGAGGCAAUUCUUGAUCCGCUUUGGCAGCAAGCUAUGGAUGAGGAACUUUCUGCUUUGCAUAAGACAGAUACUUGGGAUCUGGUUCCUCUACCUCCUGGUAAGAGUGUUAUUGGUUGUCGUUGGGUGUAUAAGAUCAAGACUAAUUCUGAUGGGUCUAUUGAGCGAUACAAAGCUAGGCUGGUUGCAAAAGGAUACUCUCAACAGUAUGGUAUGGACUAUGAGGAGACAUUUGCCCCGGUUGCCAAAAUGACUACUAUUCGUACUCUUAUUGUCGUAGCUUCGAUUCGUCAGUGGCAUAUUUCUCAGCUUGAUGUUAAAAAUGCAUUCUUGAAUGGAGAUCUUCAAGAAGAAGUUUAUAUGGCACCCCCUCCUGGUAUUUCACAUGACUCUGGAUAUGUUUGUAAGCUUAAGAAAGCAUUAUAUGGUCUCAAACAAGCACCUCGUGCUUGGUUUGAGAAAUUCUCUAUUGUGAUCUCGUCUCUUGGCUUUGUUUCUAGCAGUCAUGAUUCUGCUCUUUUUAUUAAGUGCACUGAUGCAGGUCGUAUCAUUCUGUCUUUAUAUGUUGAUGACAUGAUUAUUACUGGUGAUGAUAUUGAUGGUAUUUCAGUUUUGAAGACAGAGUUGGCUAGACGAUUUGAAAUGAAGGAUUUGGGUUAUCUUCGAUAUUUCCUGGGUAUUGAGGUAGCAUACUCACCUAGAGGUUACCUUCUUUCUCAGUCGAAAUAUGUUGCAGAUAUUCUUGAGCGGGCUAGACUUACUGAUAACAAGACUGUAGAUACUCCUAUUGAGGUCAACGCGAGGUACUCUUCUUCUGAUGGUUUACCUUUGAUAGAUCCUACUUUAUACCGUACUAUUGUUGGGAGUUUGGUAUAUCUCACCAUUACUCGUCCAGAUAUUGCAUAUGCUGUUCAUGUUGUUAGUCAGUUUGUUGCUUCUCCUACUACUGUUCACUGGGCAGCUGUUCUUCGUAUUUUGCGAUAUCUUCGGGGUACAGUUUUUCAGAGUCUGUUACUUUCAUCCACCUCUUCCUUGGAGUUGCGUGCAUACUCUGAUGCUGAUCAUGGUAGUGAUCCCACAGAUCGCAAGUCUGUUACCGGGUUCUGUAUCUUUUUAGGUGAUUCUCUUAUUUCUUGGAAGAGCAAGAAACAAUCUAUUGUUUCUCAAUCAUCCACCGAAGCAGAAUAUCGUGCCAUGGCAUCUACUACCAAAGAGAUUGUUUGGCUGCGUUGGUUACUUGCUGAUAUGGGAAUUUCCUUUUCUCAUCCUACUCCUAUGUAUUGUGACAAUCAGAGUUCUAUUCAGAUUGCUCAUAACUCGGUUUUUCAUGAGCGCACUAAGCACAUUGAGAUCGAUUGUCAUCUUACUCGUCAUCAUCUCAAACAUGGCACCAUUGCUUUGCCUUUUGUUCCUUCUUCCUUGCAGAUUGCAGAUUUCUUUACCAAGGCGCAUUCCAUCUCUCGUUUUCGUUUUCUGGUUGGCAAACUCUCGAUGCUUGUAGCUGCCGCAUCGUGAGUUUGAGGGGAGAUGUUCACUAAUAUUUAUGUAGUCUUAUUUAUUAAGGGUAGAAUAGUACUUUCAGUUUGACCUAUAUAUACUUUAUUUGUAUUUAGGUUAACACUAUGCAUUCAUAAUAAACAGAUUAUUCAGAAUUGUAGCCUCCUUUUUGUAGUUGAUCUCAAUUACUUUAACACGGAUAACUGAAACAUAACCUGCCAAGACAGAAAACCACCAGAACUUGACAGAACCAGUUGCUACCCAAAUCCAAUGAUAAAACGAUUCAAAUCCGACAGUAAAAAUACAUUUCAUUUCAAAACAAAUCGAUUUUUGACCUCCAAAACAAGUUUAGUGAAUAUCUUUUUAAAUCUGCAUAUAAAAUCAAUAAUCCACGGCACCACAAACGAGCACAUAUUCACUUGAUCAAUCACAAUCAUACAAAAAAUAAGAUUAAUAUUGUUGUCUUUUUUAUUUUACUGAAUGUUUUUUUACAGCCUUUCAUAUUUGAUUUUAAAAAAACAACUCGAUGAGUUUUCUUUGAGUGCCUAUUUUUAUUAUUAUAUUGCUAAAUGAAAGAUAGUUUCAAAAAAAUAAAAUGAUUGAACCAAGUCGGAUUCAUUUAAUAUGUUAUUGGUUUUAAUAUUUUAAAAAAUUAAACUGAGUUUAUUUUUGAAAAAAAUCAAAUAUUUUUCGUUGCUUAAUGUUAAAGAACCAAUUAACCUAAAAGUUUAAGUUGUUAGGUAAGGUUGCAAGAUAUGAUUUAUAUUAUUUUCUAAUACACCCUUUGAAGUAAAAAGUUCUUUUAACUUGAAACUUGCACAAAUUUAUAAUACAUUGCAAUUGAUUUUUAUCAAAUAAAAGGGACAGUGAGAUUUGAAUUCGUGAUUACUUUGUCAUUAAAGCUCUGAUAUCAUGUUAAAGAAUUAAUUAAAUCUAAAAAACUAUUAGGUAAGAACUCAAAAUAUAAUUUAUAUUAUUUUUUAAUAUUUAAAAAUAUAUUAAUAGAACAUGUAUGUUUUUUUCCGACCUACAUUCCAUUAUUGUUUCCAUAAUUGAAAUUUCUCGUUGGUAUCUUUUACUAACCAAGUCUUUCCGCACUGGAUAGGCUUCUCAUCACACCAUUGCCACAUGGACUAGAAGACAAAUUUCCUGACUUGAAAUCGAAGAGGGAGAUGAGACAAUUUAGAAUAACACUAGUUAUAUAUGCUCCGCGUGAUGCCGUGAAUUAAUUAUUUUUUGCAUUUUAAAAAUAACCAAAAUAUAGAAUAUAGAAUUCAGAUCUUAAACCAAACCGACUACAUGAUCAGGUCUGAAAAGUAUGCAUGAUAGAUGUUUAUCAAUCGAUCUCUCGAGCCGCCAUGAUUGUCAAAUACAAGAUUUAAACCAAUAAUAAUAAUAAAUAAAUAAAAGACACAUGACGAACAUGGAGCCAUCCAUGCUUUAAUUAAUCGAAUCUUAUACACUAUAGGACAAAACAGGUGGUCCAUGCAUGAGGCAUAGCGCAAUAAUUUAUAGUUUUGUCAAACAGGGUGUACAUGUAAUUAUUUAUAUAUGACAAACGCAUUGAAAGAUUAAUUCACAUCAUGUUUAGAAAUAUAGUUAGAAUUGUUUUUUUUAAUUUAAAAUUGUUUUCAAUUUAAAAUUAUUUUUAUAUUUUUAUAUUGUUUUGAUAUGUUGAUAUUAAAAAUAAUUUUUUUAAAAUAAAAAAUAUUAUUUUAAUAUAUUUUUAAAUAAAAAAAAACUUCAAAAAAUUAUAGCAAUGAACAUUGCAACUAUGGAAAUAUGAAACAAGUUGGAGACGUUCAAUGAAUAUGAAAGACAAAACGAGAAAUCCAGGACCACGCAAAUUUCUAAGAACAAAAAUUAGCAUGGCCUACAACUAGUCAAACCUAUAUUUUGUGGGAACCCCGAAAAAAUAUACAUGUUUUCAAAUAUUAAUUCAUUUUAAGAACAAAAAAUAUAAUUUGUGCAAAAAAUCAUUCUUAUUUAUCCCAAAAACAUAUGCUUUAUAUCACACAAAUAUAUAUUCUUCAAUUGCAAUGAAUCUUUUUACAUUUACUUAUCAAUUAAAUUGAAUAAAAUCAUUAAAACUACAAGAAUAAAAUGAAAAAUAAAUCAUUAUUUGUGAGUAAUCAAAACCUUAUUGAAAUUAUAAAUGGAUUGAAAUAAAAAGAUUAUGUAUGUGAUGCACACUUCUCUGUAGCGUUUGACUACUAUCUCGAGAUAAAGAUGCCAAAUAACUAUCUCAACUCAAUAGAUUAAGUUAUUAGAUAAGAUUCUAAGAUAUAAUUUAUAUUAUUUUUUAACAUACCCCUCAAGUGAAAGCCAUUUGAACUUAAAAUUUGGACAGACUCACACUAUCCUGCACUUAUUUUUUAUCAACUAAAUAGGGAUAGUGAGAUUCGAACUUGUAACUGUUUGGUCAUCAAGACUCUGAUAUCAUAUAAAAAAAUCAAUUCAACCUAAUAACUUAAGUUGUUAGGUGAGGUCUCAUGAUAUGAUUUAUAUUAUUUUCUAACAUAUUCACUCGAAUAAAAGUUUUUUGGGUUUAUUCUAUUAGUUGGGAUAAGAGGAACAUGUUCUUUAUAUACUUUUUAUUUUGAAAUUACAUAAAUUUAGUUUAAAACAGUCUUAAAGAAAAUUUUAUUUUUAUAUUUUUAUUUUUAUUUCUCUAACCAAACAUGCUUCACUCCACAUUAUCUUUAUUAAUUUCUUCUUUCUCGAAAAAGUAACUAAACACUAUUCUUCUUCUUCUUUUUUUACUGUAAUAGUAACUAAACCAUGCCUUAAAAAACUAGAAAUUAGGGACUAGAUUUUUUAUGGAAAAAAUUAUAAAUCCCAUCACUAAUCAUCUAUACGUUUAAGUGGUCGGAUUUUAUAAUCUAAUAUAAGCACGAGAAAAACAAUUUUGUGGGAUAAAUCAAGUAAGCAAGUGGUCCAAGAGGCGAGAGCUCCAAAGCCCAAACCUACCCGACAAGUCUCUGUCAGAGGACAAUAAUUUGUAGUUUCGUCGAGCAAGUGGCACUCGUUUAAUUAAUUGUAACUAAUAAUCCAAAUCCUUUCUCCCUAUAAAUUCAUGGUCUCUGUUCAAUCUUUGAACACAUCAACAACAAGACUCAAUAUUGGGAUAUAACUAUUACUUAUCAGAUUCAACAAUGAAGAUUACUAACUUUCUAGUGCUCUCCUUUCUUCUCUUUGCCUUCACGGCAACUUCAAUAUUUCCUCGUGCCGUUCAUGCUGAAGCAGUGAUCGAUGCCUUCGGUGAUGAGGUUAGAACUGGUGAUCGUUAUAUCAUCGGAGCCGCUUCGAAUGACUUUGCGGUCACUUCCAGCCGUAUCAUAUGCAAUUCAGAUGUUAUGUUUUCUCCAAUGAGCCAUGGACUCCCAGUAAUAUUUUCACCAGUUGUAGAAUCCAACGACAGUGUCAUCCAUGAAGACAGUAAUCUGAAUGUGGACUUUGAUGCAGCCACAUGUAGAAUGGCGGGCGUAUCAACCAUGUGGAAGAUUGAAAUGAGGCCAACAGCGCGAGGAUUCGUUGUGACCACAGGAGGUGUUGCUGGAUUGAAUCGGUUCAAGAUCACCAAGUAUGAAGGUGGUAAUAAUUUGUAUCAGCUUUCUUACUGUCCAAUUUCGGAACCCAUAUGUAAAUGCUCAUGCGUC
RNAcentral lists this long non-coding RNA (14457 nucleotides) under Populus trichocarpa (black cottonwood). RNAcentral describes it as "long non-coding RNA (PTRI_LNC004279)". The record is from RNAcentral. Lineage: Eukaryota; Viridiplantae; Streptophyta; Magnoliopsida; Malpighiales; Salicaceae.